Non-coding RNA from Hippopotamus amphibius kiboko, 72 nucleotides. Lineage: Eukaryota; Metazoa; Chordata; Mammalia; Artiodactyla; Hippopotamidae. The record is from the annotation of a RefSeq genome assembly.
UCCUUGGUGGUCCAGUGGUUAGGACUCGGCACUUUUAUUGCAGUGGCCUGGGUUCAAUUCCUGGUCAGGGAA